RNAcentral lists this long non-coding RNA (1376 nucleotides) under Pan troglodytes (chimpanzee). RNAcentral's name for it is "long non-coding RNA NONPTRT012673". Lineage: Eukaryota; Metazoa; Chordata; Mammalia; Primates; Hominidae. The record is from RNAcentral.
CGGGGCUGCUGGGUCUUCCAGGAGCGCGCAUGAGCGGACGCUGCCUACGGGUGGCCGGGAGGGAUGUAACUGGCUGCUGAGCUGGCAGUUCUGUGUCGCUAGGCUUCGGCCGGGCAGCCGCCCCACAUAAGCUGCGAGGAGGAGCUUUACGACUUCCCGGUCUUCGGGGCCGGGCGCAGCAAGGGCCAGACUCUGCGCUAGCAGGCGCUGCCCGCCAACCGGCCGGCACCUGUCGCAGAAGGUGCAACCGAUCGCACUGUCGCGCAGAAGCUCCUCAAUGGCCAGCGCCAGCUGCAGCCCCGGCCGCCCACUCGCCUCACCUGAGCCUGGGAGUUUGAAAAAUCACAUUUGAGAAGAGGAUUGGAUCCUAGCCAUAACAUAAAUAUAAGGGUGGAACCAAAGUUUUAAUCAAAGAAGGUGAUGUUCAGUUGCUGCUUACGAUAGUUGAUACCCCAGGAUUUGGAGAUGCAGUGGAUAAUAGUAAUUGCUGGCAGCCUGUUAUCAAUUACAUUGAUAGUAAAUUUGAGGACUACCUAAAUGCAGAAUCACGAGUGAACAGAUGUCAGAUGCCUGGUAACAGGGUGCAGUGUUGUUUAUACUUCAUUGCUCCUUCAGGACAUGGACCAUUACAUAACUGAAGACUCCCACCUUCAGGCAGGAUUGGGUAGUACGUGUUUGUAACUACCUGGCAUUGCCUUUUGUUGAGGAAGGGUAGAUGUCUACCCAAAUGGAAUAUUGAGUAUCAGAGACUUCAAAUGAUAACUUUUGUUUGUUUGGAGAAAAUCUUGAGGACGUGAUCACUGUACAAAAGCAUGGCAAAAUGAGGAAACCACUGACAGGUGAAGAAUUUGCACAAUGGAAAACCACCUUGACCAUCUCAUGACUUUAUACAGGAAUCGGAGUAUCAGAAGCUAAGUCUCUUCUCUAGCACCUCCUUCAGGGACCGUGAGCUCCUUGGGGUCACUGCUCUGUCUCCACAGCAGAGCACGGUACCUAACAUGUGGCAGGACUCAAUAAAAGACAUCCAAGGCCAUUCCAUUUCUAGAUCACACUUAUCCCUCAAUCAAGUCAGUGACUGGAUCAUCUCCUAAGGUUUCACCUGCUUUGCAUCAGUGAGUUGGACUAUGGAUCAGGUACUGUGCUCAGCAUCAGAAAAUGGGAUGACAAUGAACAGAGUAACACGACUAUAUUUCUGAAAAAGGAUGAACUUACUGGAAACAGGAUUGCGUGCCUGAAAUAGACCCAAAUGGAUAUAAAUGUCAACUCAGUUCUGGGCUGGAGAUAUAGAUUUGGAAUGCACCAACAAUGCAGAUGGUAAUCCUGGCAUGCGAGUAGGUGAGAUCAUCCGGGGAGAUGGCCUAUAAUGAGAGCCUAUA